This 77-nucleotide transfer RNA is filed under the name Arthrobacter phage Amigo. It matches the Rfam family "tRNA". From Rfam's summary of the family: Transfer RNA (tRNA) molecules are approximately 80 nucleotides in length. Lineage: Duplodnaviria; Heunggongvirae; Uroviricota; Caudoviricetes. RNAcentral also lists the same sequence under 1 other name. The record is from Rfam by way of RNAcentral.
GGUGUGAUAGCCCAACUGGAAGAGGCCCACGGUUCCCAAGAGCCGCGACAGUGUAGGUUCAAGUCCUACUCACACCA